Long non-coding RNA from Heterocephalus glaber (naked mole-rat), 822 nucleotides. Lineage: Eukaryota; Metazoa; Chordata; Mammalia; Rodentia; Bathyergidae. The record is from Ensembl.
CUCUAGAGUGGGAAAAGGAGAAGAAAAUAAGUAUUGUUUUAGAGAUAUGUUCAUUUUACUUUUAUCUUUAGAAGAUGAAUGCUUAUAACAUAAACUGCCCAACAGAAGUGCUAAAAAAUCUUGACUAAUGGGGUAUGAGUAAAAGAUAUUUUUUAAAAAGUUAUCUUUUUUGACCUCUAUUCUAACCAAGGACCCCUGGUUUCUGAGCUGGCACAGUUGCUGCAUUCUGUGUUAAUCAUCAUCUCAUCACGAUCUCAUUCCAGAGGAACUGGCUGUCACUGAAGCCCUUGCAAUUGACUGUGGUCUCAGAUGGGGCAAACUUCUCGUGAACUGGUGAGCUGAGGCUGAACCUCACUAACCAACAGGUCUUGCUAAGCAUGUGGUACAUGCUGUGCUUGGUUGUUUGGCAACAAAACCCCCCAUAGGAUGUGCAUUUUAGGUCACUAGGAAGACGCCGAGUCACCCCACUGCAGACAGGCAGGUCUGCCCACGCCCUACCGAGGUCCCCAGUCUCGCGGAACACGCCGAAUCAGCCCGCUGCAGACAGGCAGGUCUGUGCACGCCCUACCGAGGUCCUGAGUCAAGCGGAAAACGCCGAAUCGGCCCGCUGCAGCUGCAGACAGGCAGGUCUGCCCACACCCUACCGAGGUCCCCAGUCUCGCGGAACACAUGCCGAAUCAGCCCGCUGCAGACAGGCAAGUCUGUGCAAGCCCUACCGAGGUCCUGAGUCACGAGGAAGACACCGAAUCACCCCACUGCAGACAGACAGCCACCUGAUUCCACAUUGCCAAGGCGCAGAGGACACCAGACCACCAGACCAAG